GGCAGUGUAGUGUAAUGGCUAGGGUAUUGGACUUAGAAUCAGGAAAACUUGGGUUCCAGUCCUGACCCUGCCA
RNAcentral lists this transfer RNA (73 nucleotides) under Monodelphis domestica (gray short-tailed opossum). It matches the Rfam family "tRNA". From Rfam's summary of the family: Transfer RNA (tRNA) molecules are approximately 80 nucleotides in length. Their secondary structure includes four short double-helical elements and three loops (D, anti-codon, and T loops). Lineage: Eukaryota; Metazoa; Chordata; Mammalia; Didelphimorphia; Didelphidae. The record is from Rfam by way of RNAcentral.